RNAcentral lists this long non-coding RNA (245 nucleotides) under Elaeis guineensis (African oil palm). Its description in RNAcentral is "long non-coding RNA (EGUI_LNC008083)". The record is from RNAcentral. Lineage: Eukaryota; Viridiplantae; Streptophyta; Magnoliopsida; Arecales; Arecaceae.
ACAGCACCCAUAUCCUCAGAUGCCCUUGGCGAAGGCCGGAGUGGUGGUGUGGACAUGCGAGUUUGGAGCCUCCUACGGAUGGUUUUGACGGCAUCCUGAACUGCUCACAGGUGUGGCGGAGAGCUUUGGGCCUAUGGCCGCCGACUUCUACGAGUCCAGUCCUAGGAAAAUUGCACCAUUGAGGAUGAGGAUUGGCUCCCCACGCGCCGUGGGGCACAGUGGCUUGCUUCGGCUGAGCCCGGCCC